UACGGAGGAUGCAAGCGUUAUCCGGAAUGAUUGGGCGUAAAGCGUCCGCAGGUGGCGAUUCAAGUCGAUUGUCAAAGGUCGUGGCUCAACCACGAACAGGCAGUGGAAACUGAACAGCUAGAGUGCGGUAGGGGUAGAGGGAAUUCCCGGUGUAGCGGUGAAAUGCGUAGAGAUCGGGAAGAACACCAGUGGCGAAAGCGCUCUACUAAGCCGCAACUGACACUCAGGGACGAAAGCUAGGGGAGCGAAUGGG
Molecule: ribosomal RNA, 253 nt
Filed under: uncultured bacterium
Lineage: Bacteria
Description: partial 16S ribosomal RNA
Rfam family: Bacterial small subunit ribosomal RNA
Source: RNAcentral